Molecule: ribosomal RNA, 253 nt
Filed under: uncultured bacterium
Lineage: Bacteria
Description: partial 16S ribosomal RNA
Rfam family: Bacterial small subunit ribosomal RNA
Source: RNAcentral
UCCGGCGGGUACUAGCGUUGUUCGGAAUUACUGGGCGUAAAGCGCGCGUAGGCGGAUUUGCAAGUCGGGGGUGAAAUCCCGAGGCUCAACCUCGGAACUGCCUUCGAUACUGCAAAUCUCGAGUCCGGAAGAGGUGAGUGGAAUUCCUAGUGUAGAGGUGAAAUUCGUAGAUAUUAGGAAGAACACCAGUGGCGAAGGCGGCUCACUGGUCCGGUACUGACGCUGAGGCGCGAAAGCGUGGGGAGCAAACAGG